GGUACAGAGGGCUUGCUGUGGAGCCGCAUCUUGCAGCUGGGGGCACUGAGGCCUGAGAGGCUCUGACAGGCCAUGCACUGCUGUCUGAACCAGGACCUGCUUGAGGUCACCUUCCUCCCAGGCCACUGAAGUGACUGUGGUGGUGAGAGGUUCAGUAGGUUUCAUGCUGCCUGGACUUUCCAAAAAGGAUGUUUGCUGACGGGAUGGCUUGUUAGAGGAGGAAGAUUCUGUAGAAAUUCAGUUCCCUUGCAUGUUCCCAGCCUCUGGCAGGAGUUGGGGAUAAAAUUGAGCCCAUGGUACAAUGGGGAGACAGGUUUAUACCUAGAUGAAAAGAAAAGAGAAAUAGCUAAGAAGGAAUUCUCUGACAUUCCUUCUUAAUUUCCUCUGCCAGCUUGUCUUUCUCAGUUCAGCUAGAGAUAUUUUCUACUGCUCACAAGUCAGAACUUGGACUGAUACAGAGGUUUAAUUGACUAUCACAAAAGGAGUGGGGUCAUGGCUGCCAUAUAAAGCAGUCACAAGACUGUCAUUUCAGCCCACAUCAAAGACAGCAGCGCAUUUAAACCAUGGCAGGUGAUGAUCCUACCCACUCUUCUCUCAUCAGCACUUGGGUGCUGCACAGCUCUGCAUUCUGCUCUGAGCACCAUGAUUUUAACAGACACUCAUUUGUGAAGUGUGUUUAGGAAGUCGAGGCCUUUUGAAAUCUUGCUGCUUUAGUACGAAACUACUAGGGAACUACUGGAACAUCUCAGGGGGCAAUAUGACUGUCAGGCCUCUGAUCCCAAGCUAAGCCAUCAUAUCCCCUGUGACCUGCAUGUAUACAUCCAGAUGGCCUGAAGCAACUGAAGAUCCACAAAAGAAGUAAAAAUAGCCUCACUUGAUGACAUUCCACCAUUGUGAUUUGUUCCCGCCCCACCCUAACUGAUACGAUAGUCUUCCCCACCCUUAAGAAGGUACUUUGUAAUAUUCUCCCCUGCCCUUAAGAAUGUAUUUUGUACGCCUAUCCCAAACCUAUAAGAACUAAUGAUAAUCCCACCACAGUUUGGUGACUCCGUUUUCUGAUUCAGCCCGCCUACA
Molecule: long non-coding RNA, 1074 nt
Organism: Pongo pygmaeus (Bornean orangutan)
Lineage: Eukaryota; Metazoa; Chordata; Mammalia; Primates; Hominidae
Exons: 4
Source: RefSeq, a predicted model, not a curated record